UUUUAAAUGGCCGCAGUAUUUUGACUGUGCAAAGGUAGCAUAAUCAUUAGUUUUUUAAUUAAAAGCUUGUAUGAAAGGCUGGACGAGGUAAAAUCUGUCUCUAUCUAAAUUAUAGUAGAAUUUAACUUUUAAGUUAAAAGGCUUAAAUAUUAUUAAAAGACGAGAAGACCCUAUAGAUCUUUAUAGCUUAUUAAAUUAAAUUAAUUUAGAAAUAUUAAUGUUUUAUUUAACUAAGGUAUUUUAUUGGGGUAAUAAAAAGAUUAAAUAAAUUCUUUUUUAUAAUAAACAUUAAUUUAUGAAUAUUAAUGAUCCAGUUUUACUGAUUAUAAGAUUAAGUUACCUUAGGGAUAACAGCGUAAUUUUUUUAGAGAGUUCAUAUCGAUAAAAAAGUUUGCGACCUCGAUGUUGGAUUAAAGAUUAUUUUAGGUGUAGAAGCUUAAUAAUUUUGGUCUGUUCGACCAUUAAAUCUUUACAUGAUCUGAGUUCAGACCGGCGUAAGCCAGGUCGGUUUCUAUCUUUAAUAAAAUAAAAUAUUUUAGUACGAAAGGACCAAAUAUUUAAUAUAUUUAUAUUUAAUUUACUGAAUAUUA
Molecule: ribosomal RNA, 590 nt
Filed under: Carabus dufouri
Lineage: Eukaryota; Metazoa; Arthropoda; Insecta; Coleoptera; Carabidae
Description: partial large subunit ribosomal RNA
Rfam family: Bacterial large subunit ribosomal RNA
Source: RNAcentral